Molecule: ribosomal RNA, 184 nt
Filed under: Glomeraceae sp.
Lineage: Eukaryota; Fungi; Glomeromycota; Glomeromycetes; Glomerales; Glomeraceae
Description: partial small subunit ribosomal RNA
Rfam family: Eukaryotic small subunit ribosomal RNA
Source: RNAcentral
GGGAAUUCCAGCUCCAAUAGGGUAUAUUAAAGUUGUUGCAGUUAAAAAGCUCGUAGUUGAAUUUCGGGGUUAGUACGUUGGUCGUGCCUUUGGUAUGUACUGGUUUUACUGAUUCCUCCUUCUUGAAGAACCGUAAUGCCAUUAAUUUGGUGUGGCGGGGAAACAGGACUGUUACUUUGAAAAA